UCCGAAGGGGGCGAGCGUUGAUCGGAAUUACUGGGCGUAAAGCGUGCGCAGGCGGAUUGGUAAGACAGAGGUGAAAUCCCGGGGCUUAACCUCGGAACUGACUUUGAUACUGUCUGUCUUGAGUUCGGGAGAGGUGAGUGGAAUUCCUAGUGUAGAGGUGAAAUUCGUAGAUAUUAGGAAGAACACCAGUGGCGAAGGCGGCUCACUGGCCCGGAACUGACGCUCAUGUGCGAAAGCGUGGGGAGAAAACAGG
Molecule: ribosomal RNA, 253 nt
Filed under: uncultured bacterium
Lineage: Bacteria
Description: partial 16S ribosomal RNA
Rfam family: Bacterial small subunit ribosomal RNA
Source: RNAcentral